This 253-nucleotide ribosomal RNA is filed under the name uncultured bacterium. RNAcentral describes it as "partial 16S ribosomal RNA". It matches the Rfam family "Bacterial small subunit ribosomal RNA", at positions 524 to 776 of the family's 1533-position model. The record is from RNAcentral.
GACGGAAGGUGCAAGCGUUGCUCGGAAUCACUGGGCGUAAAGGGUGCGUAGGCGGCCGCGCAAGUCUGGCGUGAAAGCCCCGGGCUCAGCCCGGGAAGGGCGCUCGAAACGGCGCGGCUCGAGUGCCGGAGGGGAGAGUGGAAUUCCUGGUGUAGCGGUGAAAUGCGUAGAUAUCUGGAGGAAUACCGGUGGCGAAGGCGGCAUCCUGGACCGACAUUGACGCUGAUGAGCGAAAGCUAGGGGAGCAAACGGG